RNAcentral lists this ribosomal RNA (253 nucleotides) under uncultured bacterium. Its description in RNAcentral is "partial 16S ribosomal RNA". It matches the Rfam family "Bacterial small subunit ribosomal RNA", at positions 524 to 776 of the family's 1533-position model. The record is from RNAcentral.
UACGUAGGGUGCGAGCGUUAAUCGGAAUUACUGGGCGUAAAGCGUGCGCAGGCGGUUCGUUAAGUUCGUUGUGAAAGCCCCGGGCUCAACCUGGGAACUGCAAUGGAAACUGGCGGGCUUGAAUGCGGCAGAGGGGGGUGGAAUUCCGCGUGUAGCAGUGAAAUGCGUAGAGAUGCGGAGGACCACCGAUGGCGAAGGCUGCCCCCUGGGCCGACAUUGACGCUCAGGCACGAAAGCGUGGGGAGCAAACAGG